Molecule: non-coding RNA, 3156 nt
Organism: Callorhinus ursinus (northern fur seal)
Lineage: Eukaryota; Metazoa; Chordata; Mammalia; Carnivora; Otariidae
Source: RefSeq, a predicted model, not a curated record
AUGAAACAAAGAGCAACUUCUGAAUCUCCAAGAGAUAAUCUUGAGCAUUUCCCGGUGCUGAAUGGUCUGAAGAUGCUCACGGCAGACGGGUCUCUCCACGAGAGCCAGAGCACCGUCAGUCAGAUUUGGUAACCAGCUGAUUUGACUUUGAACACAGUCUGACUACAAAAAUCCAAAAUAUUUAUUCUAGAAUCAGAGAACCUGGGGCCGGUAUAUGCAAAAUGGAGGUGGUUCAGAUCUGAAAACCUUGAAGAACGAAACGGGACUUGACAAGAUUUCAGAUUGUCGGAUAACUCUUAACGACGUUAGCUCUGCCAUAGUCAUGCUGUACAUGAACCAGCUGAAUACUUCAGAGGAAGCCUGCAGAACUCACAGAUCCUCCCAUGUGGUGAAGAAAGAAGGUACAGAGAGCCUGAAUGGAAACAGGCUGGUUCAGCCCAGGGACCUUUUCCUUCCGUGGAGUUCCUCCUCACUGGAAGAGAGCGUUACAGACCCCAUCCUGGGCUUGUGUUCACGUGGCUCUGCAGCUACAUUCCGAUCUGCAUGUGCAGCACACAAGGGAACAAAAUACUUCAGAGCCAUCCCCAGGUGCAUCGUGACAGGGAAGGCAGAAAGUAUCUCUGACCCGUAUCUGGUGAAAAUAGGAUGAGUGACGUGGGAGAGACCCCAAGGCUCAGUGUGUUCUCUGGCUCUUCACACAAUGUCCUAGCUGCUUGUUAAUGAGAGCAGGGCUUUGUCCUAGCAACACAGUACCUGAAGACGUGUAUCUUGCAUUCGUCCCUCUCCCCACCCCAACACGGAGCCACUGCAGGCUUCUCGUGGAGCUAAGAACAUUCUCUCCUGCUAGUUGAUCUUAAAUUUUUUCUUCUGUUUUCACCUCAUCUGUCCCAUAGCUAUGUUGAUGAGAGAGGAAUGGUCAUGUGUAGCUUACAGUAUGGAGGAGAUUCUAGUGCAGGGGCUAAGAGCUCGGGCUACAUAGUAGGCAGAUGACCAGUGUUAGCUGUCACUCAUAUUCUUGUGUUGUUCCUUACCAGGUUGCAUUUUGAUACUGGGUUGGCACAUAUUCGCUCCUGGCCACUUGAGGCGGAAGGACUACCUGUAGUUAAUCGUUACCCCACAGAGAGGCAUACUGGCUCCAUUUUAUUAGCGGGUGGCAUCUCUUUUUAAAGGAGGACCACACUUUGGUUGUGUCACUUCUCUAUUCUGACUGGGACACAAAUCAAGGAGUUGGACUUUUUGAGUAGCAUUAUUAUGUGAAUCCUUCCUUUCCCAGUAGACUCAGAAUUUAGAAUUUUCUCACACUGAGAUACGCAUGCGAUUGGAAAAUUUAAGUCUAGGAAGAAAGUACUUGUGUGUGGCAGGUGUUGGGGAGGGGGACCAGAAGCGACAAGCUUGCCACCCGUCCACUGUGCGCAGUGUGAGUUCUCCAGCCCCCUCCCCCCUGGUAUCUCAAAGACACAAGAACCAUACAUCACAGCCCUCCAGUGAAUUCCCUGUUAGAGUGAGUCUAAUCACUGUCUGACUUGAAUUGGUGGGUUCGCUCUCAGUUAUUUUCACAUGAGAAUACAUAGUGGUGCAACAUCCUGAUUUUUAGGAGGUUCUUUGGCUCUGUUAUAGUCACAAUCAAGAUGCCAAAUAUCAGUAGGAAAAAGUACUGAAGAGGAAAGAUCCAAUUCCUAACCUAGAACUACACAUUUUCCUCUCCAAGAAAUAUCUGUACAGAGGGGAGCAGUCUUUCAAGACUAGGCCUUUGGUUUUCUUGGCAGAGCUUUCCGAAUGUGCCAGGCAGAGUGGGAGGCAGUUAGCCCUCCCACUGCUCUCACCACUACUCACUCUCAGGCUCCUCUCAGCAUAUAUUAUAAAGUCCAGUUUCUUUUAUCUUUCCCAGCGGCUGACUGCUGACCUUACUUCAGUGACUCUCUGUGUGGUUAGGCUCACGCCUCGUAAUUAACACGAGCCAGGUAUCCACAAACUGAGUGUUUACAAAUAAUAAAUCCUAGCUCAUUCCCUGAACAAAUAUUUGUGCCUUCUACGUACCUCUGCAAAACAGCGGGCAUACACAGUGGCAGAAAAAUAAAUCCGGUGAGGGCAGAGAUGGUAACUGAAGUUAAUGAGGGGAUAAGAUGUAAAAAAAAAAAAAAAAAAAAAAAAGUACACUUGGAAUUAUAAAUUUUAUUCAUGAAGGAAAACUAAGAAUGACUUGGACGGAAAAUAAGGGUAACCAUUCUGGAUUGAAAGAUAAGGGAGGGCUUCUUUGAGGAGGUGAUAUUUAAAGCCAAAACUGGAGGAAGACAAAAAGAAAAUCAAGUAAAACUGAGGACUGGAGCAUUUCAGGCAGAGGAAACAGGAGAAGGACCCUGAAGCCGCGACGUGCGCCAUGUUCCAUGAGGUGAUGGUGGGAAGUGAGGGGGUGGGAGAGAGCCGCAUCAAAACCCUGAGGCACUGGGACUUGUGACAUUAAGUGGUCGCUGAAGCCAAAAGCAGAGUAGUGACCAAAUUCUGUUCUUAAAAGACCUCUCUGGGGGGACAACAUGGCGACCUCCACGCUGGGCUUUCUGCUACAGACCGUCCGGCAGAUGGUUCCUUCAUCACCUUCAGGCCAAGUUCGAGGUUAUUACCUAGACUGGAAAAUGUUGCGUGAUGUGAAGAGACGAAAAAUGGCCUAUGAAUAUGCAGAUGAGAGGCUACGGAUCAGUUCACUCAGGAAGAAUACCAUUUUGCCAAAAGAUCUUCGGGAAGUGGCCGAUGGAGAAAUUGCUGCCCAUCCCCAGGAUAGCUUCCCUGUUCGAAUCCGACAUCGGUGUGUUAUGACGUCCCGUCCAUGUGGUGUAAAGCGGCGCUGGAGGCUUAGUCGUAUUGCCUUCCGCCACUUAGCAGACCACAGACAGCUGUCAGGGGUCCAGCGAGCAAUAUGGUGACCCGCUCUGGAGCCUACUGAGCAGGGGAACCAGUUCUGGCAAGAAGAGUCUUCUCUAACAGACAAAAACCUAGUUUUGUAGGGGUCCGGUAUGGGAGUUUAGUCUACCUGAUGCUGCCUAUGGUUAAAUUACCUUUUAAUUUUAAAUUAAGAAAUUUGGUGGAUGUUUCAGUCAGUGAAUUCUGGCUCUCUGAAUUUUCUCUUGGACUUAAAAAUUUACUGUUUUCAUACAUAGUACA